UACGUAGGUGGCAAGCGUUGUCCGGAUUUACUGGGUGUAAAGGGCGUGUAGCCGGGAAGGCAAGUCAGACGUGAAAUCCACGGGCUUAACUCGUGAACUGCAUUUGAAACUGUUUUUCUUGAGUAUCGGAGAGGCAAUCGGAAUUCCUAGUGUAGCGGUGAAAUGCGUAGAUAUUAGGAGGAACACCAGUGGCGAAGGCGGAUUGCUGGACGACAACUGACGCUGAUGCACGAAAGCGUGGGGAGCAAACAGGAUUAGAUACCCCCGUAGUCCCU
This 275-nucleotide ribosomal RNA is filed under the name uncultured prokaryote. RNAcentral describes it as "partial 16S ribosomal RNA". It matches the Rfam family "Bacterial small subunit ribosomal RNA", at positions 524 to 798 of the family's 1533-position model. The record is from RNAcentral.